UACAUAUAUGUAUGUGUAUGUGUAAAUAAAGAAGCAGACAAAACAGAUCAACAAAGUGCAUUGCUCGCAAAGUUACUCAAAACAAUAUCAAAAGCAGUUCAAAGCAAUAAAAAAUAAUCAAAAGACGAAUGCAAAAGGCUGAAUGCAUAAAAAUGUGGCAGGCAACAUUUAAUAAAUUUCAAUUAAACGUGUUUUAAAUGCACAAGCGAUUUCCAGCAUCUACACAAAAAAAGAACAACAGCAACAAAUGAAUUCAUAAUUAAUUGGGAAUCAGUGAAUAAAUACGAAAAUAUU
Drosophila arizonae is the source of this 294-nucleotide long non-coding RNA. Lineage: Eukaryota; Metazoa; Arthropoda; Insecta; Diptera; Drosophilidae. The record is from RefSeq and is a predicted model, not a curated record.